Molecule: long non-coding RNA, 385 nt
Filed under: Fukomys damarensis (Damara mole-rat)
Lineage: Eukaryota; Metazoa; Chordata; Mammalia; Rodentia; Bathyergidae
Description: lncRNA (ENSFDAG00000032460.1)
Source: RNAcentral
CUGCUGUUUAGCUAGAGAUUGUAAUUCUAGACACGAUGUUCGUUAUUCCACUGUGUGGAUUCUAAUUAACUGCCAGAAAUGCAUUGUUGAGGGGAUGAUGGAUUAUGCAAGGGAAACUAUUAAUACAACUCAUCCACGUCUGCCCAUGUGCAGCCCAAGCCCAGAGCAACUCUUGGAGACACCAAACUGUGGUGAGAGAACCAGAUGAUGGCUUCAUGCGUGACAGUGAGGAUGUAGUCAGUGCCAUCACUCCUGUGCCUACAAAGAGCCUAUAAGGAAGGAUCAGAGAAGUCCCACAGCUUGACCCUGUUCAUACAAGUCAGUGGAUGUAGCCACACAGAAGCCAGGCACACAGACCAGAGGAGUGGUGCUCCCUCUCAGCCAG